Molecule: ribosomal RNA, 1663 nt
Filed under: Escherichia coli
Lineage: Bacteria; Pseudomonadati; Pseudomonadota; Gammaproteobacteria; Enterobacterales; Enterobacteriaceae
Description: partial 23S ribosomal RNA
Rfam family: Bacterial large subunit ribosomal RNA
Source: RNAcentral
CUGGAGGUAUCAGAAGUGCGAAUGCUGACAUAAGUAACGAUAAAGCGGGUGAAAAGCCCGCUCGCCGGAAGACCAAGGGUUCCUGUCCAACGUUAAUCGGGGCAGGGUGAGUCGACCCCUAAGGCGAGGCCGAAAGGCGUAGUCGAUGGGAAACAGGUUAAUAUUCCUGUACUUGGUGUUACUGCGAAGGGGGGACGGAGAAGGCUAUGUUGGCCGGGCGACGGUUGUCCCGGUUUAAGCGUGUAGGCUGGUUUUCCAGGCAAAUCCGGAAAAUCAAGGCUGAGGCGUGAUGACGAGGCACUGCGGUGCUGAAGCAACAAAUGCCCUGCUUCCAGGAAAAGCCUCUAAGCAUCAGGUAACAUCAAAUCGUACCCCAAACCGACACAGGUGGUCAGGUAGAGAAUACCAAGGCGCUUGAGAGAACUCGGGUGAAGGAACUAGGCAAAAUGGUGCCGUAACUUCGGGAGAAGGCACGCUGAUAUGUAGGUGAAGUCCCUCGCGGAUGGAGCUGAAAUCAGUCGAAGAUACCAGCUGGCUGCAACUGUUUAUUAAAAACACAGCACUGUGCAAACACGAAAGUGGACGUAUACGGUGUGACGCCUGCCCGGUGCCGGAAGGUUAAUUGAUGGGGUUAGCGCAAGCGAAGCUCUUGAUCGAAGCCCCGGUAAACGGCGGCCGUAACUAUAACGGUCCUAAGGUAGCGAAAUUCCUUGUCGGGUAAGUUCCGACCUGCACGAAUGGCGUAAUGAUGGCCAGGCUGUCUCCACCCGAGACUCAGUGAAAUUGAACUCGCUGUGAAGAUGCAGUGUACCCGCGGCAAGACGGAAAGACCCCGUGAACCUUUACUAUAGCUUGACACUGAACAUUGAGCCUUGAUGUGUAGGAUAGGUGGGAGGCUUUGAAGUGUGGACGCCAGUCUGCAUGGAGCCGACCUUGAAAUACCACCCUUUAAUGUUUGAUGUUCUAACGUUGACCCGUAAUCCGGGUUGCGGACAGUGUCUGGUGGGUAGUUUGACUGGGGCGGUCUCCUCCUAAAGAGUAACGGAGGAGCACGAAGGUUGGCUAAUCCUGGUCGGACAUCAGGAGGUUAGUGCAAUGGCAUAAGCCAGCUUGACUGCGAGCGUGACGGCGCGAGCAGGUGCGAAAGCAGGUCAUAGUGAUCCGGUGGUUCUGAAUGGAAGGGCCAUCGCUCAACGGAUAAAAGGUACUCCGGGGAUAACAGGCUGAUACCGCCCAAGAGUUCAUAUCGACGGCGGUGUUUGGCACCUCGAUGUCGGCUCAUCACAUCCUGGGGCUGAAGUAGGUCCCAAGGGUAUGGCUGUUCGCCAUUUAAAGUGGUACGCGAGCUGGGUUUAGAACGUCGUGAGACAGUUCGGUCCCUAUCUGCCGUGGGCGCUGGAGAACUGAGGGGGGCUGCUCCUAGUACGAGAGGACCGGAGUGGACGCAUCACUGGUGUUCGGGUUGUCAUGCCAAUGGCACUGCCCGGUAGCUAAAUGCGGAAGAGAUAAGUGCUGAAAGCAUCUAAGCACGAAACUUGCCCCGAGAUGAGUUCUCCCUGACUCCUUGAGAGUCCUGAAGGAACGUUGAAGACGACGACGUUGAUAGGCCGGGUGUGUAAGCGCAGCGAUGCGUUGAGCUAACCGGUACUAAUGAACCGUGAGG